Molecule: ribosomal RNA, 253 nt
Filed under: uncultured bacterium
Lineage: Bacteria
Description: partial 16S ribosomal RNA
Rfam family: Bacterial small subunit ribosomal RNA
Source: RNAcentral
UACGUAGGUGGCGAGCGUUGUCCGGAUUUACUGGGCGUAAAGGGAGCGUAGGCGGACUUUUAAGUGAGAUGUGAAAUACUCGGGCUCAACUUGAGUGCUGCAUUUCAAACUGGAAGUCUAGAGUGCAGGAGAGGAGAAUGGAACUCCUAGUGUAGCGGUGAAAUGCGUAGAGAUUAGGAAGAACACCAGUGGCGAAGGCGAUUCUCUGGACUGUAACUGACGCUGAGGCUCGAAAGCGUGGGUAGCAAACAGG